RNAcentral lists this ribosomal RNA (2927 nucleotides) under Escherichia coli. RNAcentral's name for it is "23S ribosomal RNA". It matches the Rfam family "Bacterial large subunit ribosomal RNA". Lineage: Bacteria; Pseudomonadati; Pseudomonadota; Gammaproteobacteria; Enterobacterales; Enterobacteriaceae. The record is from RNAcentral.
GGGUUGUGAGGUUAAGCGACUAAGCGUACACGGUGGAUGCCCUGGCAGUCAGAGGCGAUGAAGGACGUGCUAAUCUGCGAUAAGCGUCGGUAAGGUGAUAUGAACCGUUAUAACCGGCGAUUUCCGAAUGGGGAAACCCAGUGUGUUUCGACACACUAUCAUUAACUGAAUCCAUAGGUUAAUGAGGCGAACCGGGGAACUGAAACAUCUAAGUACCCGAGGAAAAGAAAUCAACCGAGAUUCCCCAGUAGCGGCGAGCGAACGGGGAGCAGCCCAGAGCCUGAAUCAGUGUGUGUGUUAGUGGAAGCGUCUGGAAAGGCGCGCGAUACAGGGUGACAGCCCCGUACACAAAAAUGCACAUACUGUGAGCUCGAUGAGUAGGGCGGGACACGUGGUAUCCUGUCUGAAUAUGGGGGGACCAUCCUCCAAGGCUAAAUACUCCUGACUGACCGAUAGUGAACCAGUACCGUGAGGGAAAGGCGAAAAGAACCCCGGCGAGGGGAGUGAAAAAGAACCUGAAACCGUGUACGUACAAGCAGUGGGAGCACGCUUAGGCGUGUGACUGCGUACCUUUGUAUAAUGGGUCAGCGACUUAUAUUCUGUAGCAAGGUUAACCGAAUAGGGGAGCCGAAGGGAAACCGAGUCUUAACUGGGCGUUAAGUUGCAGGGUAUAGACCCGAAACCCGGUGAUUCAGCCAUGGGCAGGUUGAAGGUUGGGUAACACUAACUGGAGGACCGAACCGACUAAUGUUGAAAAAAUUAGCGGAUGACUUGUGGCUGGGGUGAAAGGCCAAUCAAACCGGGAGAUAGCUGGUUCUCCCCGAAAGCUAUUUAGGUAGCGCCUCGUGAAUUCAUCUCCGGGGGGUAGAGCACUGUUUCGGCAAGGGGUCAUCCCGACUUACCAACCCGAUGCAAACUGCGAAUACCGGAGAAUGUUAUCACGGGAGACACACGGCGGGUGCUAACGUCCGUCGUGAAGAGGGAAACAACCCAGACCGCCAGCUAAGGUCCCAAAGUCAUGGUUAAGUGGGAAACGAUGUGGGAAGGCCCAGACAGCCAGGAUGUUGGCUUAGAAGCAGCCAUCAUUUAAAGAAAGCGUAAUAGCUCACUGGUCGAGUCGGCCUGCUGCGCGGAAGAUGUAACGGGGCUAAACCAUGCACCGAAGCUGCGGCAGCGACACUGUGUGUUGUUGGGUAGGGGAGCGUUCUGUAAGCCUGCGAAGGUGUGCUGUGAGGCAUGCUGGAGGUAUCAGAAGUGCGAAUGCUGACAUAAGUAACGAUAAAGCGGGUGAAAAGCCCGCUCGCCGGAAGACCAAGGGUUCCUGUCCAACGUUAAUCGGGGCAGGGUGAGUCGACCCCUAAGGCGAGGCCGAAAGGCGUAGUCGAUGGGAAACAGGUUAAUAUUCCUGUACUUGGUGUUACUGCGAAGGGGACGGAGAAGGCUAUGUUGGCCGGGCGACGGUUGUCCCGGUUUAAGCGUGUAGGCUGGUUUUCCGUGCAAAUCCGGAAAAUCAAGGCUGAGGCGUGAUGACGAGGCACUACGGUGCUGAAGCAACAAAUGCCCUGCUUCCAGGAAAAGCCUCUAAGCAUCAGGUAACAUCAAAUCGUACCCCAAACCGACACAGGUGGUCAGGUAGAGAAUACCAAGGCGCUUGAGAGAACUCGGGUGAAGGAACUAGGCAAAAUGGUGCCGUAACUUCGGGAGAAGGCACGCUGAUAUGUAGGUGAAGUCCCUCGCGGAUGGAGCUGAAAUCAGUCGAAGAUACCAGCUGGCUGCAACUGUUUAUUAAAAAACACAGCACUGUGCAAACACGAAAGUGGACGUAUACGGUGUGACGCCUGCCCGGUGCCGGAAGGUUAAUUGAUGGGGUUAGCGCAAGCGAAGCUCUUGAUCGAAGCCCCGGUAAACGGCGGCCGUAACUAUAACGGUCCUAAGGUAGCGAAAUUCCUUGUCGGGUAAGUUCCGACCUGCACGAAUGGCGUAAUGAUGGCGGGCUGUCUCCACCCGAGACUCAGUGAAAUUGAACUCGCUGUGAAGAUGCAGUGUACCCGCGGCAAGACGGAAAGACCCCGUGAACCUUUACUAUAGCUUGACACUGAACAUUGAGCCUUGAUGUGUAGGAUAGGUGGGAGGCUUUGAAGUGUGGACGCCAGUCUGCAUGGAGCCGACCUUGAAAUACCACCCUUUAAUGUUUGAUGUUCUAACGUGGACCCGUGAUCCGGGUUGCGGACAGUGUCUGGUGGGUAGUUUGACUGGGGCGGUCUCCUCCCAAAGAGUAACGGAGGAGCACGAAGGUUGGCUAAUCUCGGUCGGACAUCAGGAGGUUAGUGCAAUGGCAUAAGCCAGCUUGACUGCGAGCGUGACGGCGCGAGCAGGUGCGAAAGCAGGUCAUAGUGAUCCGGUGGUUCUGAAUGGAAGGGCCAUCGCUCAACGGAUAAAAGGUACUCCGGGGAUAACAGGCUGAUACCGCCCAAGAGUUCAUAUCGACGGCGGUGUUUGGCACCUCGAUGUCGGCUCAUCACAUCCCCGGGCUGAAGUAGGUCCCAAAGGGUAUGGCUGUUCGCCAUUUAAAGUGGUACGCGAGCUGGGUUUAGAACGUCGUGAGACAGUUCGGUCCCCUAUCUGCCGUGGGCGCUGGAGAACUGAGGGGCUGCUCCUAGUACGAGAGGACCGGAGUGGACGCAUCACUGGUGUUCGGGUUGUCAUGCCAAUGGCACUGCCCGGUAGCUAAAUGCGGAAGAGAUAAGUGCUGAAAGCAUCUAAGCACGAAACUUGCCCCGAGAUGAGUUCUCCCUGACUCCUUGAGAGUCCUGAAGGAACGUUGAAGACGACGACGUUGAUAGGCCGGGUGUGUAAGCGCAGCGAUGCGUUGAGCUAACCGGUACUAAUGAACCGUGAGGCUUAACCUUACAACGCCGAAGGUGUUU